Molecule: transfer RNA, 73 nt
Filed under: Candidatus Altimarinota bacterium
Lineage: Bacteria; Candidatus Altimarinota
Description: tRNA-Arg
Rfam family: tRNA
About the family: Transfer RNA (tRNA) molecules are approximately 80 nucleotides in length.
Source: RNAcentral
GUGCCCGUAGCUUAACGGAUAGAGCGCAGCCCUGCGGAGGCUGAAAUUGAGAGUUCAAUUCUCUCCGGGCACA